UACGAAGGGUGCAAGCGUUACUCGGAAUUACUGGGCGUAAAGCGUGUGUAGGUGGUUGCUUAAGUCCGUUGUGAAAGCCCUGGGCUCAACCUGGGAAUUGCAGUGGAUACUGGGCGACUAGAGUGCGGUAGAGGGUAGCGGAAUUUCCGGUGUAGCAGUGAAAUGCGUAGAGAUCGGAAGGAACAUCUGUGGCGAAGGCGGCUACCUGGGCCAACACUGACACUGAGACACGAAAGCGUGGGGAGCAAACAGG
RNAcentral lists this ribosomal RNA (253 nucleotides) under uncultured bacterium. Its description in RNAcentral is "partial 16S ribosomal RNA". It matches the Rfam family "Bacterial small subunit ribosomal RNA", at positions 524 to 776 of the family's 1533-position model. The record is from RNAcentral.